UGGAUUCACAUUUCAUGGAAUGUGCUGGAUGCAGUGUGGAGCUCCUGGUCCAGACACUGGGAGAGAAGGCUGUCAGUAGAGCGAUUAGGGAGCAGGAACAGGCAUUGACAGCUUUGUCCCAGCCAGCUCAGCUGCGGAUGGAGGCUGUGCACUGUGCUGUUGGGAGGGUGGCAUGCAGGAAUUGGUCCCCCCUCAUGAAACCCACACAGCUGAUCUGGAUCCUGAGUGGGUCCUGUACAACCCUGCCUUUCCUUUGGUCUGGAUGUGACCCCUAUUGAUAUCUCAUGCUCCUGCCACCAGUCACUGGUUUGCCAUGUUCAUGGGUCUCUGCUCUGUUUCAGGAGCAGAGGUGAACGAAGGGAACGGCCUGAGAAAGGUAAGAGAUUUCUGGUUUUAUGGUUUCUGGCUUGAGAUUAGGUUCAGUGCUUAGCAUGCCUGGGAGAAAAGCUGUUGCCAGCAACCAUCCUCAGCCUCAUGUGUGCUGGUGCUCCAGCAUCAAACCCACACCAGAGGAUGGGUUGUGAGUCCCACUGAGCGACGUGGUGGCCCCUGCCCUCUGCUUUCCUGCUCUGUGUGCCCUGCCCAGAGCUGGGGGAGCCACGUCGCUGGUGGGACUUGCUCCUUCCCAGGUGCCGUGGGAGGAAGAAGUGGGUGCUUCUGGUACUGAAAUGGGUGAUGUGGAUUCUCCUUUUCAGCCGGUGUGUGGAGAGAUGGUGGAGCUGCAGGUCUGCCCCCUCGUGUACUUGCCUGUCUGUGGGACUGAUGGGAACACCUAUGCCAAUGAAUGCCAGCUCUGUGUGCAGCGAAUGAGAACCAGGCAAGACAUCCAGAUUUUGAAAAAUGGGAACUGUCGAGACAUCUGAGCUUUCAUGAGCCCAGGAACAGGUGAUUAAUUGAUCCUGUGUGCUCUGUACUGAUUGCACGUUAAAGUUAGGGAUGGUGAAUAAUAAAAUGAUGGGCACAGUCUUA
This is a long non-coding RNA of Neopsephotus bourkii (Bourke's parrot), 969 nucleotides long. RefSeq lists it as uncharacterized. Lineage: Eukaryota; Metazoa; Chordata; Aves; Psittaciformes; Psittacidae. The transcript has 2 exons. The record is from RefSeq and is a predicted model, not a curated record.